GAUGAACGCUAGCUACAGGCUUAACACAUGCAAGUCGAGGGGAAACGGCAUUAAGUGCUUGCACUUUUUGGACGUCGACCGGCGCACGGGGGAGUAACGCGUAUCCAACCUGCCCCUUACCAGGGAAUAACCCGUUGAAAGACGGACUAAUGCCCUAUGCAGUCCUUUGACGGCAUCAGAUUAGGACUAAAGAUUCAUCGGUAUGGGAUGGGGAUGCGUCUGAUUAGCUUGUUGGCGGGGUAACGGCCCACCAAGGCAUCGAUCAGUAGGGGUUCUGAGAGGAAGGUCCCCCACAUAGGAACUGCGACACGGUCCUAACUCCUACGGGAGGCAGCAGUGAGGAAUAUUGGUCAAUGGGCGCUAGCCUGAACCAGCCAAGUAGCGUGCAGGACGACGGCCCUAUGGGUUGUAAACUGCUUUUAUGCGGGGAUAAAGUCACCCACGUGUGGGUGUUUGCAGGUACCGAAUGAAUAAGGACCGGCUAAUUCCGUG
This 492-nucleotide ribosomal RNA is filed under the name uncultured bacterium. RNAcentral's name for it is "partial 16S ribosomal RNA". It matches the Rfam family "Bacterial small subunit ribosomal RNA", at positions 28 to 507 of the family's 1533-position model. The record is from RNAcentral.